AUUGAACGCUGGCGGCAGGCCUAACACAUGCAAGUCGAGCGGAUGAAGGGAGCUUGCUCCUGGAUUCAGCGGCGGACGGGUGAGUAAUGCCUAGGAAUCUGCCUGGUAGUGGGGGAUAACGUCCGGAAACGGGCGCUAAUACCGCAUACGUCCUGAGGGAGAAAGUGGGGGAUCUUCGGACCUCACGCUAUCAGAUGAGCCUAGGUCGGAUUAGCUAGUUGGUGGGGUAAAGGCCUACCAAGGCGACGAUCCGUAACUGGUCUGAGAGGAUGAUCAGUCACACUGGAACUGAGACACGGUCCAGACUCCUACGGGAGGCAGCAGUGGGGAAUAUUGGACAAUGGGCGAAAGCCUGAUCCAGCCAUGCCGCGUGAGUGAAGAAGGUCUUCGGAUUGUAAAGCACUUUAAGUUGGGAGGAAGAGCAGUAAGUUAAUACCUUGCUGUUUUGACGUUACCAACAGAAUAAGCACCGGCUAACUUCGUG
This 484-nucleotide ribosomal RNA is filed under the name uncultured bacterium. RNAcentral's name for it is "partial 16S ribosomal RNA". It matches the Rfam family "Bacterial small subunit ribosomal RNA", at positions 30 to 507 of the family's 1533-position model. The record is from RNAcentral.